GGAACACAUGAGACAAGGGGUCCUG
RNAcentral lists this non-coding RNA (25 nucleotides) under Rattus norvegicus (Norway rat). Lineage: Eukaryota; Metazoa; Chordata; Mammalia; Rodentia; Muridae. The record is from RNAcentral.